UGGUGCCUUCGGGAACUGUGAGACAGGUGCUGCAUGGCUGUCGUCAGCUCGUGUUGUGAAAUGUUGGGUUAAGUCCCGCAACGAGCGCAACCCUUAUCCUUUGUUGCCAGCGGUUAGGCCGGGAACUCAAAGGAGACUGCCAGUGAUAAACUGGAGGAAGGUGGGGAUGACGUCAAGUCAUCAUGGCCCUUACGACCAGGGCUACACACGUGCUACAAUGGCGCAUACAAAGAGAAGCGACCU
This 243-nucleotide ribosomal RNA is filed under the name Enterobacter sp. 50793107. RNAcentral's name for it is "partial 16S ribosomal RNA". It matches the Rfam family "Bacterial small subunit ribosomal RNA", at positions 1012 to 1255 of the family's 1533-position model. The record is from RNAcentral. Lineage: Bacteria; Pseudomonadati; Pseudomonadota; Gammaproteobacteria; Enterobacterales; Enterobacteriaceae.